This 424-nucleotide ribosomal RNA is filed under the name uncultured bacterium. RNAcentral describes it as "partial 16S ribosomal RNA". It matches the Rfam family "Bacterial small subunit ribosomal RNA", at positions 360 to 776 of the family's 1533-position model. The record is from RNAcentral.
AAUAUUGGCCAAUGGGCGAAAGCCUGAUCCAGCCAUGCCGCGCGUGUGAAGAAGGUCUUCGGAUUGUAAAGUACUUUAAGUUGGGGGGAAGGGUUGUAGAUUAAUACUCUUCAUUUCUGACGUUACCGACAAAAUAAGCACCGGCUAACUUCGUGCCAUCAGCUGCGGUAAUACGAAGGGUACAAGAGGUAAUCGGAAUUACUGGGAGUAAAGCGCGCGUAGGUGGUUCGGUAAGUUGGAUGUGAAAGCGCCGGGCACAACCUGGGAACGGCAUCCAAAACUGGCGAGCUAGAGUACGGUAGAGGGGGGUGGAAUUUCCUGUGUAGCGGUGAAAUGGGUAGAUAUAGGAAGGAAAACCAGUGGGGAAGGGGACAACCUGGACUGAUACUGACACUGAGGUGCGAAAGCGUGGGGAGCAAACAGG